Chlorocebus sabaeus (green monkey) is the source of this 107-nucleotide unclassified non-coding RNA. It matches the Rfam family "Y RNA". From Rfam's summary of the family: Y RNAs are components of the Ro ribonucleoprotein particle (Ro RNP), in association with Ro60 and La proteins. The Y RNAs and Ro60 and La proteins are well conserved, but the function of the Ro RNP is not known. NCBI's taxonomy places the organism in Eukaryota, Metazoa, Chordata, Mammalia, Primates, Cercopithecidae. The record is from Ensembl.
CGCUGGUCUGAAGGUAAUUAGUUAUCUUAACUGAUUGAAAACAGUUACAGAUCAAACCCCUUGUUUUACUGUCCUCCCUUCUCACUACUGCACUUGACUCAUCUUAA